CAGGUUCACACACUCACUAGAUCGGUCACAACAUUAGAAGCCAGACACAGGAGACGCAACAUACGCCUGAGAGGCAUCCCAGAGCAGAUUGGAGGGGACGCACUGCUACCCUUCACCCAGAGGCUACUGGUAUCUAUGAGCAUAAAAUGAAGCACACACUGCUAACAUCAACCUUUAAAGUACGCAAGGCAGCGUGUGCCCCACAAGGAGCGCCAAAGCGCCAUCAUGAGCCGAUCCAGGGAGCUUGGCAAUAUACACUUCGAAGGUUAUACAGUGGCAAUCUAUGGAGAUCUUCCAUUUGCCACACUACUAGAACUCAGACAACUAGACCUGAUAGCCACACAGCUGCGGAACGCCGCAAUCUAAAACCGCUGGGGAGCGGACGGUUCACUGACCGUGACACAAGUAGCUACAGUACUUACCCUG
Molecule: non-coding RNA, 426 nt
Organism: Pelobates cultripes (western spadefoot toad)
Lineage: Eukaryota; Metazoa; Chordata; Amphibia; Anura; Pelobatidae
Source: the annotation of a GenBank genome assembly